GACAUCCGAGAUUCCACCGGACGGUAGGAAUUCCGAUACCGGAGUCUAGCUGGGUAUUACAUUCUCCCCCCCUUAAGAACAUUCGUCCCCGAAUGUUCCUCAACUAGCACACAUAGCAUGGCAUAAAACAUAACAUACAUACAUAGCACAUAAACACAUAGAGAUCUAACCUUAAAAGAGAUGAGGGUACUGCUGGAGCAUAGACUCCCGUGUCUC
RNAcentral lists this long non-coding RNA (216 nucleotides) under Manihot esculenta (cassava). Its description in RNAcentral is "long non-coding RNA (MESC_LNC013121)". The record is from RNAcentral. Lineage: Eukaryota; Viridiplantae; Streptophyta; Magnoliopsida; Malpighiales; Euphorbiaceae.